AUGCUUGCUUUGGCAGCACAUAUACUAAAAUUGGAACCAUAUAGAGAUUAGCAAAGCCCCUGUGCAAGGAUGACACACAAAUUCAUGAAGCAUUCCAUAUAUUA
RNAcentral lists this small nuclear RNA (104 nucleotides) under Prolemur simus (greater bamboo lemur). Lineage: Eukaryota; Metazoa; Chordata; Mammalia; Primates; Lemuridae. The record is from RNAcentral.